Long non-coding RNA from Bubalus bubalis (water buffalo), 436 nucleotides. RefSeq lists it as uncharacterized. Lineage: Eukaryota; Metazoa; Chordata; Mammalia; Artiodactyla; Bovidae. The record is from RefSeq and is a predicted model, not a curated record. The transcript is spliced from 3 exons.
ACCGAAUGAACAGAACUGCUGGAAGUAAAAGCAGGAAACACUGUAGGAGAAGGCCGCCUCUGAAUGCGGCAUACGUUAGCACUAGGAAGCCCUCUUCCACUUGCGCUGACCAGCCUACCACUCGCUUUUCAGAGGUGUGUGCUGUUUCUCAUUCUAGUCUGGAUUCCUACCGGCAGAGGUAUUCAAAACUUAAAGAAAAAGAUUGAGCUCCACCAACAGCACUUGCGAUAUACUUUCUACCACCUUUUCCUCCAUUGAUGCUGCAUUAGUGAGCUUGCCUGCUGCCCCAUUAGCCCUUGUAGCAAAAACCUGGCUCUGGAAUGCGGACAAGCUCUACCGCCUCUGCCCUGUAACAGGUUGGAGGUCUGUUCACUAGAUCAGUCCUGGAUGUUCAUUGGAAGGACUGAUGUUGAAGCUGAAACUCCAAUACUUUGGC